Molecule: ribosomal RNA, 468 nt
Filed under: uncultured bacterium
Lineage: Bacteria
Description: partial 16S ribosomal RNA
Rfam family: Bacterial small subunit ribosomal RNA
Source: RNAcentral
GACGAACGCUGGCGGCGUGCUUAACACAUGCCAGUCGAACGGAAAGGCCCUGCUUUUGUGGGGUGCUCGAGUGGCGAACGGGUGAGUAAAACGUGAGUAACCUGCCCUUGUCUUUGGGAUAACUUCAGGAAAAUGGGGCUAAUACCGGAUAGGAGCUUUUGCUGCAUGGGGGGGGAUGGAAAGUUUCGGCGGUUGGGGAUGGACUCGAGGCUUAUCAGCUUGUUGGGGGGGUAGUGACUUACCCAGGUUUUGAAGGGUAGGCGGCCUGGGAGGGUGACCGGCCACAUUGGGACUAAGAGACGGCCCAGACUCCAACCGGAGGCAGCAGUGGAGAAUAUUGCACAAUGGGCGGGAGCCUGAUGCAGCGACGCCGCGUGCGUGAUGACGUCCUUCGGGGUGUGAACCGCUUUCGCCUGUGACGAAGCGUGAGUGACGGUAAUGGGUAAAGAAGCACCGGCUAACUACGUG